UUAGGCGGACGGGUGAGUAACGCGUGGGGAACCUGCCUUGCACCGGGGGAUAACACUUAGAAAUAGGUGCUAAUACCGCAUAAGCGCACAGAGCCGCAUGGCUCGGUGUGAAAAACUACCGGUGGUGCAAGAUGGACCCGCGUCUGAUUAGCUGGUUGGCGGGGUAACGGCCCACCAAGGCGACGAUCAGUAGCCGGCCUGAGAGGGUGAACGGCCACAUUGGGACUGAGACACGGCCCAAACUCCUACGGAAGGCAGCAG
Molecule: ribosomal RNA, 261 nt
Filed under: uncultured bacterium
Lineage: Bacteria
Description: partial 16S ribosomal RNA
Rfam family: Bacterial small subunit ribosomal RNA
Source: RNAcentral